AAGAGACAGCAGCCGCCGCGGGAAUACGAAGGGUGCAAGCGUUACUCGGAAUUACUGGGCGUAAAGCGUGCGUAGGUGGUGGUUUAAGUCCGUUGUGAAAGCCCUGGGCUCAACCUGGGAAUUGCAGUGGAUACUGGGUCACUAGAGUGUGGUAGAGGAUAGUGGAAUUUCCGGUGUAGCAGUGAAAUGCGUAGAGAUCGGAAGGAACAUCUGUGGCGAAGGCGACUAUCUGGGCCAACACUGACACUGAGGCACGAAAGCGUGGGGAGCAAACAGGAUUAGAUACCCCCGUAGUCCCUGUCUCUUAUAC
Molecule: ribosomal RNA, 310 nt
Filed under: uncultured bacterium
Lineage: Bacteria
Description: partial 16S ribosomal RNA
Rfam family: Bacterial small subunit ribosomal RNA
Source: RNAcentral